UGGGGAAUAUUGCACAAUGGGCGAAAGCCUGAUGCAGCGACGCCGCGUGAGGGAUGACGGCCUUCGGGUUGUAAACCUCUUUCAGUAGGGAAGAAGCGAAAGUGACGGUACCUGCAGAAGAAGCGCCGGCUAACUACGUGCCAGCAGCCGCGGUAAUACGUAGGGCGCAAGCGUUAUCCGGAAUUAUUGGGCGUAAAGAGCUCGUAGGCGGUUUGUCGCGUCUGCCGUGAAAGUCCGGGGCUCAACUCCGGAUCUGCGGUGGGUACGGGCAGACUAGAGUGAUGUAGGGGAGACUGGAAUUCCUGGUGUAGCGGUGAAAUGCGCAGAUAUCAGGAGGAACACCGAUGGCGAAGGCAGGUCUCUGGGCAUUAACUGACGCUGAGGAGCGAAAGCAUGGGGAGCGAACAGGAUUAGAUACCCUGGUAGUCCAUGCCGUAAACGUUGGGCACUAGGUGUGGGGGACAUUCCACGUUUUCCGCGCCGUAGCUAACGC
This 493-nucleotide ribosomal RNA is filed under the name uncultured Actinomycetes bacterium. RNAcentral describes it as "bacterial SSU rRNA". It matches the Rfam family "Bacterial small subunit ribosomal RNA", at positions 355 to 858 of the family's 1533-position model. The record is from RNAcentral. Lineage: Bacteria; Bacillati; Actinomycetota; Actinomycetes.